UUUGUUAUUUGCAUGUUUUUGUUGUUUUUUUUUUAAUAAUAACUAAAAUUAAAACUAACGGAGCAAGAAAGUAAAAGCGUAGUUACUUAGUAGUGAUCCUAAACUAAAAAGCAUAAAAAUAAAGCAUACACCCACACACGCACCCAUGCAUCUACGACUAUUACAUAAAAGCUUAUGAUACAUUCUAAAGUCCAGUGGAAUAAUAAACCUAAACUAAUAAAGAAGCAGGAGAAUAAAAAGAACAGCCACUGUCUUGCAAUUGGAAUUGGAAUGGAACAGCCACGUCAAACACCUGCAAAUAAAUGGAUGGACACUCGAAAAUUGAAAGAAAAGCCACGACAACAGCUAAUUGUGAUUAAUGAAGCCCCUGCAAACAAGUAAACAGAAGGACACGCAGCAAAAGGGAUUAAAUACAAACACACAAGCCGUGCCACAUGAAUUAAUCCAAACGCAGAUGCAAUGAUAUAAAUGAAAAGGCAAUUGGAAUUGAAACUAGAGGCACAACCACUAAUAAUUGAAAUCCAGAUAUAACACGUAGCAGCAAGAGAAUUAAUUGAGUUUGGAUGAAUAAUAAAAAAAAAACAAAAUGGCAAUUGAAAUCAAAAUGAGUUAUUUACGGUUGAAUGAAGUUUAAAAGCAAAGUUAUGAAUCCAAUUCAAUAUGAAUAGUGGACCGAUGAAAGUAAAACAAGGGUGAUAAAAAAAAUAUAUAUACAAAGAUUUAUGGAAAUAUAUGAAUACGGCAAGGGAAAAUGGUAGGGAUUGGAUCCAAAUAAUUCAACAAUAGCGAUGAAACAUAUAUAUGGAACUACGGCUGUAAAAAUCAAACUGAAGCUGAAAUUAAAAGAAACUACGGUUUUGGUUUGCAGGUUUGUGGAAUAUUUGUGUGUGAAAAUUGUGUUGUCGGGGUCCAAUUGUGUUGUUGCAGGUUGCUUUUUAUAGGAUUAGGAGUAGGGUUAGGGUUUGUUAAAAGUGGAGAAAAAAAUGUGAUAACACUGCUUGAAUUGGGGAGGAAGCAAGCAAACACGUUUGACAGGAUUUGG
This 1042-nucleotide long non-coding RNA is filed under the name Medicago truncatula (barrel medic). RNAcentral's name for it is "long non-coding RNA (MTRU_LNC008204)". The record is from RNAcentral. Lineage: Eukaryota; Viridiplantae; Streptophyta; Magnoliopsida; Fabales; Fabaceae.